UACGUAGGGGGCUAGCGUUGUCCGGAAUCAUUGGGCGUAAAGCGCGCGUAGGCGGCCAGAUAAGUCCGGUGUGAAGGUCAAAGGCUCAACCUUUGAAUGCCGCUGGAAACUGUUUGGCUCGAGUCCGGGAGGGGCGAGUGGAAUUCCUGGUGUAGCGGUGAAAUGCGCAGAUAUCAGGAAGAACACCCGUGGCUAAGGCGGCUCUCUAGUACGGUACUGACGCUGAGACGCGAAAGCGUGGGGAGCAAACAGG
Molecule: ribosomal RNA, 253 nt
Filed under: uncultured bacterium
Lineage: Bacteria
Description: partial 16S ribosomal RNA
Rfam family: Bacterial small subunit ribosomal RNA
Source: RNAcentral